This 484-nucleotide ribosomal RNA is filed under the name uncultured bacterium. RNAcentral describes it as "partial 16S ribosomal RNA". It matches the Rfam family "Bacterial small subunit ribosomal RNA", at positions 28 to 523 of the family's 1533-position model. The record is from RNAcentral.
GACGAACGCUGGCGGCGUGCUUAACACAUGCAAGUCGAACGAUGAAGCUGGAGCUUGCUCCGGUGGAUUAGUGGCGAACGGGUGAGUAACACGUGAGUAAUCUGCCCUUGACUCUGGGAUAACUGCGGGAAACUGUAGCUAAUACCGGAUACGACACCUUCGGGCAUCCGAUGGGUGUGGAAAGAAUUUCGGUCAAGGAUGAACUCGCGGCCUAUCAGCUAGUUGGUGAGGUAAUGGCUCACCAAGGCGACGACGGGUAGCCGGCCUGAGAGGGUGACCGGCCAAACUGGGACUGAGACACGGCCCAGACUCCUACGGGAGGCAGCAGUGGGGAAUAUUGCACAAUGGGCGAAAGCCUGAUGCAGCAACGCCGCGUGAGGGAUGAAGGCCUUCGGGUUGUAAACCUCUUUUAGUUGGGAAGAAGCGAAAGUGACGGUACCAACAGAAAAAGCACCGGCUAACUACGUGCCAGCAGCCGCAGUAA